Molecule: ribosomal RNA, 305 nt
Filed under: uncultured bacterium
Lineage: Bacteria
Description: partial 16S ribosomal RNA
Rfam family: Bacterial small subunit ribosomal RNA
Source: RNAcentral
ACAGCAGCAGCCACGGGAACACGGAGGGAGCUAGCGUUGUUCGGAAUUACUGGGCGUAGAGCGCGCGUAGGCGGUUACUCAAGUCAGAGGUGAAAGCCCGGGGCUCAACCCCGGAACUGCCUUUGAAACUAGGUGACUAGAAUCUUGGAGAGGUCAGUGGAAUUCCGAGUGUAGAGGUGAAAUUCGUAGAUAUUCGGAAGAACACCAGUGGCGAAGGCGACUGACUGGACAAGUAUUGACGCUGAGGUGCGAAAGCGUGGGGAGCAAACAGGAUUAGAUACCCCCGUAGUCCCUGUCUCUUAUAC